UUGAUUUUGGAGAAGAACACCUUUAAACUUCAAAUAUAGAGUUUAACUUCAAAUAUAGAGUUUUAGAAACUUCAAAAUAGAGUUUCUUUUUGGAGAUGUUCUAAAGAGAAACAAGAUCAUUAACUCUUAGCCUACGUGAGAAGAAGGCUAACAAUAAUGAUUUAAUAUCUCUUAGUUACAAAAAACUAAAAGAACAUCUAAAUACAAUAAUACUAAAAGAAGGUUACAACCUGAAGACAAUUUCUUAAAGAUCAAAGAGAAACCAUACACAUGUUACUGAUUAUUAGCCUUUUCAGUUGUGGAGAGGAUUUGGACCUGUGUGAACUAAUCUCUUGUCGUCUUUAUAAACAUCAUCUCUGUUUUCUUCUUCACGAUGUGGAUCUGUGAACGACAAUGAGGUGCUGGGGGAUUGAGUCGACGAGGUUUCAUGGAAAGGACCAGCCUUUCUCGAUGAAGGAUAUGAUUGGUGAUGAUACUGAUGAGGAGAAGAAAGAGCUGAGGAUGAAGACAAACCAAACUGACCAAAGAUCAAGAUUCCCCACAAUAACAUGGUGGAGGGUGCUGCUCGUUUCCUUCGUCUUCUUCUUGUGUCGUGCUCAUUUCCUACAGAGUUUCCCAUGGCGGUUUGAGAGGUUCAAAGGUGACCCGUAAUCCGCACGUGGUUUCCGUUUGCCCAAAGGUCCGUAAUCCGCACAUGGUUUCCGAUUGCCAACCAUCUAAUCCCCCUGGCCCGGAACCAGCCGGCACUAAUACCCAUUACCCAAGGACCCAGCACCAACGCCGCGAUAACUUUAAACUUGGGGAGGGCGUAAAGCAUUCCGUGGCCACAGGGGGUAUUCGAACCCGGGUCCGUAUUGGUUUGUUAACUACCUCAAGACCACUAGCCCACCACCCUGUGGUUACUUUUGACUAGUUAUAAUAAUAUUGUUUGGAAAAAAUAGUAAUAAUAUUGUUUGGGAAAAAAAGUGAUAACUUUGUGUAGUAGUAGAUGAUAAACCCAAAAAGACAAAACUCUUUUCUUUGUUUCAGUGAAGUCUUAAGUAACAAAAAAGUUUGUCUUUGCUUC
Molecule: long non-coding RNA, 1066 nt
Organism: Brassica napus (rape)
Lineage: Eukaryota; Viridiplantae; Streptophyta; Magnoliopsida; Brassicales; Brassicaceae
Exons: 2
Source: RefSeq, a predicted model, not a curated record